RNAcentral lists this ribosomal RNA (253 nucleotides) under uncultured bacterium. RNAcentral's name for it is "partial 16S ribosomal RNA". It matches the Rfam family "Bacterial small subunit ribosomal RNA", at positions 524 to 776 of the family's 1533-position model. The record is from RNAcentral.
GACGAAGCACACAAGCGUUAUUCGGAAUUACUGGGCUUAAAGGGUGCGUAGGCUGCGCAGAAAGUUGGGUGUGAAAUACCUCGGCUCAACCGAGGAACUGCGCCCAAAACUACUGUGCUCGAGGGAGAUAGAGGUAAGCGGAACUGAGGGUGGAGCGGUGAAAUGCGUUGAUAUCCUCAGGAACACCGGUGGCGAAAGCGGCUUACUGGAUCUCUUCUGACGCUGAGGCACGAAAGCUAGGGUAGCGAACGGG